GCCCGUGUAGCUCAGGGGAUAGAGCGCAGCGCUGCGGACGCUGAGGUCACAGGUUCGAGUCCUGCCACGGGUG
RNAcentral lists this transfer RNA (73 nucleotides) under Chloroflexota bacterium. RNAcentral's name for it is "Chloroflexi bacterium (oil production facility metagenome) tRNA-Arg". It matches the Rfam family "tRNA". Rfam says of the family: Transfer RNA (tRNA) molecules are approximately 80 nucleotides in length. Their secondary structure includes four short double-helical elements and three loops (D, anti-codon, and T loops). The record is from RNAcentral. Lineage: Bacteria; Bacillati; Chloroflexota.